Molecule: ribosomal RNA, 471 nt
Filed under: Ehrlichia canis
Lineage: Bacteria; Pseudomonadati; Pseudomonadota; Alphaproteobacteria; Rickettsiales; Anaplasmataceae
Description: bacterial SSU rRNA
Rfam family: Bacterial small subunit ribosomal RNA
Source: RNAcentral
CAGAGUUUGAUCCUGGCUCAGAACGAACGCUGGCGGCAAGCCUAACACAUGCAAGUCGAACGGACAAUUAUUUAUAGCCUCUGGCUAUAGGAAAUUGUUAGUGGCAGACGGGUGAGUAAUGCGUAGGAAUCUACCUAGUAGUACGGAAUAGCCAUUAGAAAUGGUGGGUAAUACUGUAUAAUCCCCGAGGGGGAAAGAUUUAUCGCUAUUAGAUGAGCCUACGUUAGAUUAGCUAGUUGGUGAGGUAAUGGCUUACCAAGGCUAUGAUCUAUAGCUGGUCUGAGAGGACGAUCAGCCACACUGGAACUGAGAUACGGUCCAGACUCCUACGGGAGGCAGCAGUGGGGAAUAUUGGACAAUGGGCGAAAGCCUGAUCCAGCUAUGCCGCGUGAGUGAAGAAGGCCUUCGGGUUGUAAAACUCUUUCAAUAGGGAAGAUAAUGACGGUACCUACAGAAGAAGUCCCGGCAAAC